UACGAAGGGUGCAAACGUUGCUCGGAAUUAUUGGGCGUAAAGCGCACGUAGGCGGCUUGGCAAGUCGGAUGUGAAAUCCCUCGGCUCAACCAAGGAAGUGCAUCCGAAACUGCUGAGCUUGAGUACUUAAGAGGAUCGCGGAAUUCCCGGUGUAGAGGUGAAAUUCGUAGAUAUCGGGAGGAACACCAGUGGCGAAGGCGAAUCCCUGGAAAAUACCUGACACUGAGGCACGAAAGCUAGGGGAGCAAACAGG
Molecule: ribosomal RNA, 253 nt
Filed under: uncultured bacterium
Lineage: Bacteria
Description: partial 16S ribosomal RNA
Rfam family: Bacterial small subunit ribosomal RNA
Source: RNAcentral